Long non-coding RNA from Seriola aureovittata, 1057 nucleotides. RefSeq lists it as uncharacterized. The transcript has 4 exons. The record is from RefSeq and is a predicted model, not a curated record. NCBI's taxonomy places the organism in Eukaryota, Metazoa, Chordata, Actinopteri, Carangiformes, Carangidae.
AAAACAGGUAUUUUGGGGGGCGUGGCUGUUUGAUUGAUAUACCUGGUCUGCAAUGAUUGAUCAGAUGACACGGCAGGCCGGGAGGUCGAUCACCGGAGGAUCAGUCACCGGAGGAGAGCUUGGGUCGUGAGCGUUUCGUAUUGAAUCAGUUGUGUUGAAUAUUAUUGUUCUCAAUAUUUGUCCGUGGAAGAAUAAUUUAGCACUGACAGUUUUGCUGUUAGUUAUUUAGUUUUAAUGAGUUUUCGUUUCACAGUAAUUAUGGCUCAUUCACUAACAAACUGGAGAUAUGACGAUGAUUUACAUUUUUUUUCGACUGGGAAGACGUUGUGCCAUGACUACUUUUAUAUGCGGACGCUGUGAACUGAAACCUGGCUCUGUGAGCAGUCAGUAAGUGAAAUACUCUGUAAGUAAAAUUUCCCGGGCUGUUUUAUCUUCUUUUCUUGCUGAAAUCAACUGCCUGAUACUAAAUGUGAGUCCCACAGUGUCGGAGGUUUUCCUUUCUCAGCAAAGCGGUUCUACAAAGGGUUUAUAUCUCGAUGCUUCAUGUGAACAGUGCCACAUCUACUGGCCUGAAUGCAAAAUACAAAUGAUUGUUCAUCACAAAUUGAAUAUACUAGGAGAGGCAGCCCAGGUGACAGUUCAAGGCAGCGACGGGGAAGAACGCCUCCUGUCCUGGGAAGGAGAGUCUCCAGAGCUCACAUCAUGUGCUGUGGUACAGUGGAUGGAUGGGCAUCGGUUGGUCGUCACAUGACUCACUAUCACAGGGGGAGGAGCCCUGGAGAGAGAUCAGUUUCACCUGUACCUCAAGUUCUGUUAGUAAGUUAUUUGAUAAGUUUAUGAUGCUGCAGUGACUCACUAUCGCCUCUUGAGGAACAAAGUGGUAAUACAAGAUGAAACAGGACAUGUAGCAGCAGUUACACAGUGAACCUUUCUAAGGCAAUCUGCGGUGACUUAUUUCUUCAUUAACCCCAUUACCAUUCUGUUCAAAGGAAUGCAUUUUAUUAAGCGUUGCUGUAUAUUGGGCAAACUUUAAAUAAAGGGCUGAUUUGUUUUAGCA